CCCUUAGACGUUCUGGGCCGCACGCGCGCUACACUGACCAGUGCAACAAGCAUCCGUCCUUGGCCGACAGGCCCGGGCAAUCUUUGAACGCUGGUCGUGAUGGGGAUAGACUUUUGCAAUUUUUGGUCUUCAACGAGGAAUUCCUAGUAAACGCAAGUCAUCAACUUGCAUUGAUUACGUCCCUGCCCUUUGUACACACCGCCCGUCGCACCUACCGAUUGAAUGGUCCGGUGAAAUCUCGGGACGGCAGCUUGGUCGCUUGCGUCCGACUGCUGAAACUUGAUUAAACCAUAUCAUUUAGAGGAAGGUGAAGUCGUAACA
This 321-nucleotide ribosomal RNA is filed under the name uncultured eukaryote. Its description in RNAcentral is "partial 18S ribosomal RNA". It matches the Rfam family "Eukaryotic small subunit ribosomal RNA", at positions 1470 to 1796 of the family's 1831-position model. The record is from RNAcentral.